This is a non-coding RNA of Malus domestica (apple), 1749 nucleotides long. NCBI's taxonomy places the organism in Eukaryota, Viridiplantae, Streptophyta, Magnoliopsida, Rosales, Rosaceae. The record is from RefSeq and is a predicted model, not a curated record.
UUCUUCCGAAAACACUAGAAACCUUAAACUACAGAAUUCUCAGCUGCUCCGCAACGGGUUGGUGAUUUCGAUCAUGCGUCCUACACUCCUCCUCGCGAUCUCUUCCAUCUCUGCUUCCUGAUCUUUUCGAUCUCUCCUUCGUGAUCCUUCGAUCUCUGCUUCCUCAUCUUUUUGGUCUUUGCUUUGCGAUCUCCUUGCCGUCUAAUCAUGCACCCAAUUUCUCUAGCCUUGAACAGUUGACGUGCUUUUCCAUUCAUCGCCAAAACCCAUGCUGCCUCCCUCUUUGUCUUCUCCUCCAGCAAUUUCCGCCCUUAGUUCUCAAUUGGAUUCACAGUAAAAACCCAAAAACUUAGAGAGUAAAAACGUUGAAACUUAAAGAUCUUACCCCGCAAUGCCCAAUCCAGAGAAUUGGUACUCAUAAUCAAUAAGAUUCAUAUGGUUUAUUGGUAUCAAUUUUGGUUGCAGCAAUGCUAUUCUUGCUGAAGACCUGCCAUAAAUUCAAAGCACGCAGAGAUCUCGAGUCAAAAACAGAGCAACUCUUGCACAGCGAAAUGACUCCCACCACCCAACAAACGCAACUGCUACAAUUUCAAUUGCAGUUCUUGAAGAAAGAACUUGGAACCAGCUUUUCACAUAACAUGGAUGAUGAAUGCAAGAAACUCAUACACAGAAUAACUCCACCAAGUUGUAUUCACAACUGUCCAAGACACUCUCUGGAAUUUAUUACAAUAGAAGGUCAAAUUUUCCUUCUUUGGAAACACCUCAAGCUAGGAACAAGUCUGGUAUCCAAGCUUUACAUUCAACAUUGUUUAGCAGCAUGUAGCAAGCUUUGUUUGACUGGUAUACCUCUCAAUACUGCAUUUAUUUUACUGAUUGAUGUAUUUCUUGAAGGUGGUGAUGUAAUCAUAAGAAAAAGUCGAGUUCUUUAGUUAAUGGCAAAUCGACCCAUUGCCAGGUAUCUCUCUCUCUCUCUCUCUCUCUCUCUCUCUCUCUCUCAAGAUAUUACCAAUUAGGUGUAUUUAUACUCUUAUUGGAUGUGAAUUUUAGUAUAAUGAUGUAACUGCAUGAUAACCUAUGCAUCGUUUGGAGUUUAAAUAUAACACUUAAAUUGUGGGCAAAUGUAAAUGUGAAAGUACGGAUAAACUAUAACCUCAUCCAUCAUUUAUUUGAGAGAUCACUCAAGUUGUGAAGAAAUGUAAAUAGCCAUUUUAUGAAGAUUAUUAGCACUUAAUGUACAAUUGUAUUACAUAAUUUUUGUGAAGAAUAUAUUUAUCAGCAGAAUGUGCUUUAAAGAAAAAAAAAAACAGUUUGUAAAGUAGGAGAAACAGCCAGGUGCCACUGUGUAAGAUUCUAGGGACUGCUGAAUUGGAAUACUCAGAGAAACGAUAUGCAUCUGGAUCACUAAUAAUGUUUUUUUGUGUGUAUGUAUCUCAUAUGUUGAAGGCACCCUAAUAUUAGUAGUCAAAAUGGAGCAAUUUGUCUGGAUAUUUUGAAAGACCAAUGGAACCCAACUCUGACAUUUAACUGCAGAGAUUCUUGGGUCUAAAAAUAAGAAAAUGGAGAGAGUAACACGACACUACUACUCGAAAUUGGCUUUGGGUCAUACUAUUCAUAGAGUGGUUCAAAGGAUUCCAAGAGCUGCAUUUACCCAAUUUAUGCGUUUCAUGUUAAACUUCUUUCAAAAAGCUCAAACAUCUUUCAGUGUUAAUAUACAUGAACCUUCUUUAAUAAUCUCUUAUAGCUUCGAAA